Plodia interpunctella (Indianmeal moth) is the source of this 499-nucleotide long non-coding RNA. RefSeq lists it as uncharacterized. The record is from RefSeq and is a predicted model, not a curated record. The transcript has 2 exons. Lineage: Eukaryota; Metazoa; Arthropoda; Insecta; Lepidoptera; Pyralidae.
UUACGACAUAUUGAUAAUAUUGUUAAUAAAUAUAUGUAAGUCUACACAUACAAUCACAACUUACAAAAUCACGUGAACAUACAUAAAAAAAUAUUUGAACUAGAAACACAGUACCUCCUACAUUUUUAGAAGUGGUUGAAAAUGAGGAUUCACUUUAUAGUUAUUGUAAAUAUUUUACUAUUACGGCAAGCAAUGUCGCAAUCGCCUAUACUGGAAUACUACACACAAAACAUAAAAUGCUAUUUUGGCUCUCCUUCAUUGACAAGUAUACCACAAUCUCGACCAAAAAUGCCAAUAUUACCACCAUUGGUUGCAUCUCCACGACUGUCAAGUCCAUUUUUGUCCCGGACGAAUGUUCCCAGUCCAAGGAAAUCAGUAUCGUUGAGUCCGUGCCCAUAUUUAGAUCCGUUCCUAACAGGACGAACUAUUGUUUUUAGCAAACCUAUUCCGCCACCGUUCAUUUGAGCUUAAAAUUGCGUAAUAAACUGUUUUAAUUAUA